AUUGAACGCUGGCGGCAGGCUUAACACAUGCAAGUCGAGCGAGCGGCGGACGGGUGAGUAAUGUCUGGGAAACUGCCUGAUGGAGGGGGAUAACUACUGGCAACGGUAGCUAAUACCGCAUACCAUCAGAUGUGCCCAGAUGGGAUUAGCUAGUAGGGGGGGUAAUGGCUCACCUAGGAGACGAUACCUAGCUGGUCUGAGAGGAUGACCAGCAACAGUUGAACAUAGACACGGUCCAGAAUCCUACGGGAGGCAGCAGUGGGGAAUAUUGCACAAUGGGCGCAAGCCUGAUGAAGCCAUGCCGCGUGUGUGAAGAAGGCCUUCGGGUUGUAAAGCACUUUCAGCGAGGAGGCGUUACUCGCAGAAGAAGCACCGGCUAACUCCGUGCCAGCAGCCGCGGUAAUAC
Molecule: ribosomal RNA, 406 nt
Filed under: uncultured bacterium
Lineage: Bacteria
Description: partial 16S ribosomal RNA
Rfam family: Bacterial small subunit ribosomal RNA
Source: RNAcentral